CGAGGGAUUCGAUUUCUUGGCAUACAGGUAGGACUUUUAUUUUGGAGGAUCCACGUCGUUCUCGGCACCACGUCGCCGUCGCCGUCGUCGUCGAAGUCGUCGUUGUCGUCGUUGUCGUCGUUGUCGUUGUCGUGGUCGUGCUCGUCGAGCAACCUGUUCGAUUACCAUAUAUCUUGGAAGGAAAGGCGACAAUGGCGUGGUGCGCGAGACUACUUUCGCAGAUCGCCAUUCCGUGAUUAUACGUCACGACAUAAUUUAUUGGACCUUGUCAAAGCACGCAGUGCUUUCGUCACGUUUUCUUUUCCAAGUGAGCCACCCACUUUGGCGGAGGGAACGGGAACAUCGACAAUUGAUCGCAAUUGAUCCCAUCGCCAUGGCCAAUGCGACAAUCUCCGAGCGGCAAUCCGUUUGCCACGCGAAACGUUUCAACGCGUAGUAUCGUCUCGCCUUGAAAAUUUAUCCGAGUAUUUCCAAUCGACGAAUUGAUUUAAUCUAUAAGUAAGAUACUUUGGAGAAAAGACUUUGGAGAAAAUUUCCAGAUAUAUAAUAAUACACGAUUCUCACGUUCGUAUCUCUUUUCAAGGCAUCUUUUUUACAGCUUACACCGAUAAAUAAGCUUACGAGAUUUUCGGCGACUGGAAUAUUUUUCAUACUACGUUCUGUGAUUACAUUCACACACGAUUGAGCGUAUCGUGCGUGGGCGUAACGCUAAUGAAAGAUAAGAGAUAGUAUAUUUAGAGCUGCGUUCACACUAACACAGAGCAAUAGGAUUGCGAUAUCAGUAAGUGGAAAGUGGUAUGCCAAAAGUAAUUAUUCUCGACACUCAUUGAUAUUUUAAUUUAUUUAAUUAAGAAAUUUAGAUAUUUUUGUAAGUUUAUUUGUCAAGAAAAUUAUUGAAAUAUUAUACGAUUAAUUUUUAGAAUAUCGUUUUUCAUUCCUACCGUAAUAAA
Molecule: long non-coding RNA, 950 nt
Organism: Vespa velutina
Lineage: Eukaryota; Metazoa; Arthropoda; Insecta; Hymenoptera; Vespidae
Exons: 3
Source: RefSeq, a predicted model, not a curated record